CUGCCAGUCUGGGUGGUUGGGAAUUCUUUGCCUUGUUCUCUUAGUGAAAAUAAUUGAGGUUUCUGGAUGAAUGCUCAGUUUAAUAAGCCAGAUACUCAUAUUUUUAGUCUCACCCAGAAAAAUUCCAAACACUGCCCAACCCAUAUACAACUUGGAGAGAUUGUCUGUGGCUAAGGCUCACAUAGGGACCCUCUCUCCUCCUUAGGUCUAUUUGGUUUUUAGCAUCUUAGACCACAUCACUCACCAAAAUCAGCAUCCUGACCAGUGAUAUCUACUCCCCAUACAGCUUCCAGCAGAGAGGCAGGACUAUUAGUUCUUGCUGAGGGUAAAUUUCAGUCCCUCCUCGCUGGGACGUUACAUAAAAAAUACAACUUCAGAGGAAUCCUCCAGAUUAAUUUCCAAUAUGUCUAAAAGGCAGUUUUUGAAAUCUUUUGUCCUUCCCUCUCAUUCUUAGCGUAAGGCCUAAUUUUUCAAAAGGGAUAUCAUAGUUACUUUCCAAAGAACACAUGCCUAUCAGGAGGAUAUUGUUACCCAGAGAGAAAUCCUUCAACAGACGUUUCAUUUUCUCCAACUUGAAGAAAUCCAAGAGUGCUUUUUUUAAAAAAAUUUCCUUCCACUAUUUUAACUUAUUUUUGUUGUCUUAGUUUGACAAUGUGAGAAAAAGGAGAAAAAGAGGAAUGGAUAAUAGUGAAAACAAUGUAUUAUGUCUCUAAAAUAAUAGAGUCUAAGAUUUAUAAGUUUUGAAAAUAACUUUUUAGAAAAUUAAGUAAUGAGCAGAUUCAAAAAGUUUAUGAAAAAGCCCCUACAUUAUGACAACUAAAAUUUUCAUUUUUGGCUAAGAAAACUUCUAGGAAAAGAGAGUGAUGAAGAUAAACAUUGUCACAUUAGAUAUCCCUCCCAAAGAGGAACAUCUAGUUAAAGAAAGGUCACUAGACUUGUGACUGAAAGUUUUUGCUAAGUGAGUAGCUAGUUUCCCAGAACAAAUCUUCAUCUCAUUAAAAUUCAUCAGAAAACCAAUUAGGCAUUUUGUCAGUAAUGUUCAUUACUUUUCAGAAGGAGGCUGAAUCACAUCAUGCAAAUAAGUUCUGUCCCAGGUUUGAAACAAUUUUAAUUUUUUUAAUUAAUAGAUUUUAUGUUUAGAACAAGUUUUAAAUUUAUGAAAUAAUUGAGAACAUAUAUGGUAUACAUGCUACAAUUACUAAGUCAAUACUGGAGUUCCUGUCAUGGUGCAGUGGAAAUGAAUCCGACUAGGAACCAUGAGGUUGUGGGUUCGAUCCCUGGCCUUGCUCAGUGCGCUAAGGAUCCGGCAUGGCCCUGAGCUGUGGUGUAGGUUGCAGAUUCAGCUUGGAUCUGGCAUUACUGUGGCGUAGGCCGGCAGCUGUAGCUCUGAUUAGACCCCUAGACUGGGAAUCUCCAUAUGCUGCAGGUGCAGCCCUAAAAAAAAAAAAAAAAAAAAAAAAGUCAAUAUUGACAAAUUAUUAUUAACUAAAGUUAAUAGUUUACUUAGAUUUACUUAAUUUUUACCUAAUAUUUCAGAGAUGAUCACAAAGGUAAAGGACCAUUUUCUUCAUAUCAUAUCAUACUAUCAGCAUUAGUUAUGGCCUUGAUCACCUCACUGAAGUAAUGUUUGUUACUCUUUAUUCUACCACCCACCACCUCCCCACCCGCCGCAUUUCUAUACUAUAUUCAUUGGAAGUCAUUGUGUCACACAUUGUUACUAGGGUCCUUUUAAUAACCAUGUUGAUUUUUCUUUUUUUUUAUUACUCAAAUGAAUUUAACCAUGUUAAUUUUUCAAAGAGAAACAUAAAAGUCACUUUCCAAGGAAACCUGAAUACUGACAUUCUCCCUACAGGCUUCUACAUUGCCUGACCACAUUCACCGGGACAGAGUGGGAGAGUUUCAAGGAAGCAUAACUGGAUUUGGGUUAAGAGUAUUCAAAGUCUACAUUUUUCCCUUGAUCCCCAGUGCCCAUCUCCACUAACCCCACUGCAAUUCUAAGCUUGAAGGUUAGUUUCUGAUAGAUUUUUCUCAAUGAAAAGUCAAGAGCAGCUCACCUUUCUACUUUUAUAAAUUAUCUGCUUGAUUUUCAGGCUUCACAAUGCAGAUUAGUUUAAAAAGUUUACUAAACCCCACCAGCAAAUGAUUUACUUUUCAUACAGUCCUAUGAGUGGUCCUGACAGGAGAGAAAUAAUCAGAUAUACUCCCUACCUUGAGUUGCUUUCUCUGUCUGGGGCUUCUUCAGUAACACUAGAUGCCCCAAAACACAGGCAUCAACUCUAGGGAUUAAUGUGUACCUGCACAAAGAAAUGGGUGCCAAGUCAGUGUCCUAUUGAGUUCUGGUGCUGACGGUACCUCUGUGAAACUAAGGCACGUCAUUUAACUCAUUCAUUAAACAAAUAACUAGCAUCAACAAUACAAGAGAAGCCACCUAUGCUGUUGGUGUGAAUGUAAAUUGGCACAGUCACCAUGGAGGACAGUAUGGUGGUUCCUCAAGAAACUAAAAAUAGAGUUACUAUUUUUAGGGGUGGGAUGCAGCAAUCCCACCCCUGGGCAUUAUUCAAGACAAAACAAUAAUUCAAAAAGAUACAUGCACACGUAAGUUCAUAGUAGUGCUAUUUACAAUAGCUAAGACAUGGGAGCAACUUAAAUGUCUAACUACAAAUGAAUGGAUAAAGAAGAUAUUGUGUGUACACACACACACACACACACACACACACACACACACACACUAGAAUACUAGUCAGCCAUUAAAAAGAAUGAAAUGUGCAGUAACAUGGAAGAACCUAGAGAUUAUCAUACUAACUGAAGUAAGUCAAAGACCAUAUGAUAUCACUUAUAUGUGGAAUCUAAAGUCUGAUACAAUGAACUUAUUUACAAAACAGACAUAGAGACACAGAAAACAAGCUUAUGGUUACCAAAGGGGACAUUAGAGGAGGAAGAGGGAUAAAUUAGGCAAACAAGGACCUACUAUAUAGCACAGGGAACUAUAUUCAAUAUCCAAUGAAAAACUGGAGUUUCCCUUGUGGCUCAGAAGGUUAAGAACCCACCUAAUAUCCAUGAGGAUGUGUGUUCAAUCCCUGGCCUCACUCAGUGGGUUAAGGAUCUGGCAUUGUCAUGAGCUGUGGUGUAGGCCAGCACCCACAGCUCCGAUUAGACCCCUAGCCUGGGAACCUCCAUAUGCCACGAAUGCUGCCCUAAAAAAGCAAAAAAUAAUAAUAACAGGAAAGAACAUGAAAAAAAGUAUGUAUUUUAUAUAUAUACUCACACACUCAUUAUAUAUUUUAUACAUAUACACACACACACGUGUAUGUACAUCAGAAACAACACAUUGUAAAUCAAUAUACUUCAAUAAAAAUAAAUAAAUAAAAAUAAAAAUAAAACAGUAUACCAAACAUUGGGACAAUUUCCUCAUUGUAAAACAAAGAAGCUAAACUAGAUAACUCUGAAAAUUCUAUGAUACAAAUCAAAUCUGGGAACUAUAGACACUGUAGUCUGAUGACCACUUCACAACUCUUACUCAUGGCACAAAAAUUUUAUUUGUCUUUCUCAGGAUUAUGAGGGGGGAAAAAAUAACCAAACUUUAUGAAUUGUCAUUUCUAUCCAAUCAUUUCAGGCUUAAAACAAGUGUUUAUAUUCUAGAAUAUGACCCAAUAAAACCUUGUUGGUUUUGUUGCUCAGAUCAAAGUCUUACAAAUUUUUCCUCAACAAUGAAAAUUUUCAGGGAAAGGAUUGCUCUUGGAUUGGAAGAAUCAAUACUGUCAAAGUGACUAUACUACCCAAGGCAACCUACAGAUUCAAUGCAAUCCCUAUCGAAUUACCAAUGACAUUUUUCACAGAACUAGAACCAAAAAAAAUUGUUUUAAUUUGUGUGGAAACACAAAAGACCUCAAAUAGCCAAAGCAAUCUUGAAGAAGAAAAACAGAACUGGAGGAAUCAGACUUCCAGGCUUCAGAGUAUACUACAAAACUACAGUCAUAAAAACAGCAUGGUACUAGCAUUAAAAAAAGAGAUAUAGAUCAAUGAAACAGGAAAUAAAGCCCAGAGAUAAACCCACAUACUUAUGGUCAACUAACCUAUGGCGAAGGAGGCAAAGAUGUAAAAUGGAGAAAAGAGUCUCUUCAACAAGUGAUGCUGAGAAAACUGGACAGCUACAUGCAAAAGAAUGAAAUCAGAACAUUCU
This 4180-nucleotide long non-coding RNA is filed under the name Sus scrofa (pig). RNAcentral's name for it is "lncRNA (ENSSSCG00035031390.1)". Lineage: Eukaryota; Metazoa; Chordata; Mammalia; Artiodactyla; Suidae. The record is from RNAcentral.